This 253-nucleotide ribosomal RNA is filed under the name uncultured bacterium. RNAcentral's name for it is "partial 16S ribosomal RNA". It matches the Rfam family "Bacterial small subunit ribosomal RNA", at positions 524 to 776 of the family's 1533-position model. The record is from RNAcentral.
UACGAAGGGGGCUAGCGUUGUUCGGAUUUACUGGGCGUAAAGCGCGUUUAGGCGGGCCGUUAAGUUGGGGGUGAAAUCCCGGAGCUCAACUCCGGAACUGCCUCCAAAACUGGCGGCCUGGAGCAGAGGAGAGGCGAGCGGAAUUCCGAGUGUAGAGGUGAAAUUCGUAGACAUUCGGAGGAACACCAGUGGCGAAGGCGGCACGUUGGACUCGUGCUGACUCUGAGACGCGAAAGCGUGGGGAGCAAACAGG